Molecule: ribosomal RNA, 819 nt
Filed under: Triticum aestivum (bread wheat)
Lineage: Eukaryota; Viridiplantae; Streptophyta; Magnoliopsida; Poales; Poaceae
Description: partial small subunit ribosomal RNA
Source: RNAcentral
AUGAUCCAUCACUGUAGGAUGGGGCAUGUAUCUUUUGAUAAGAUGAGUAGAAUAUUUCCAGAUCUUAUGUGUGGAAUAGGCAAGGGCAAGUUGACAUGUGAUGCUUGCGAAUAUGCAAAACACACACGAGCCUCAUAUGUGAGUAAGGGGCUUAGGAGCAUAUCUCCUUUUAUGCUUAUUCAUUCGGAUGUAUGGACGAGCCCGGUAGUGUCAAUGAAUGGAAAGAAGUAUUUUGCUACCUUUAUUGACUGCUAUUCUCGUAUGACUUGGAUUUACUUGAUGCGUCACAAUGAUGAGGUGUUUAGCUGUUUUCAGAACUUCCAUGCUCUUGUAAAGAACCAGUUUCAGGUACAGGUCAAGGUGCUCAUGACUGACAAUGGCACAGAGUAUGUGAACAACAAUUUUGGGGCUUUCAUGGCUGACCAAGGGAUUCUUCAUCAAACUUCAUGCCCGGACACCCCACCUCAGAAUGGAGUGGCCGAAAGGAAAAAUCGUCAUAUUCUUGAGGUUGCUCGGUCGUUGAUGUUUACCAUGAAUGUGCCUAAAUUCUUAUGGGAUGAAGCAGUUAUGACAGCCACAUACCUGAUCAACCGGACACCUUCUAGGAUACUAGGUAUGAAAUCUCCAUCUGAGUUGCUCGUUGGAGAUAAUAAGUUUGUUGUUUCCCCCAAGCUGUUUGGCAGUACCUGCUUUGUUCGUGAUCAUCGACCAUCUGUUGGAAAGCUUGAUCCUCGAGCUGUGAAGUGUGUCUUUCUGGGAUACUCUUCUAGCCAGCAGGGGUAUAAAUGUUGGUGUCCCUCUGAAAAACGCAGAGCUUGA